Molecule: ribosomal RNA, 426 nt
Filed under: uncultured bacterium
Lineage: Bacteria
Description: bacterial SSU rRNA
Rfam family: Bacterial small subunit ribosomal RNA
Source: RNAcentral
GGAAUCUUCCGCAAUGGACGAAAGUCUGACGGAGCAACGCCGCGUGAGUGAUGAAGGUUUUCGGAUCGUAAAGCUCUGUUGUUAGGGAAGAACAAGUGCGAGAGUAACUGCUCGCACCUUGACGGUACCUAACCAGAAAGCCACGGCUAACUACGUGCCAGCAGCCGCGGUAAUACGUAGGUGGCAAGCGUUGUCCGGAAUUAUUGGGCGUAAAGGGCUCGCAGGCGGUUUCUUAAGUCUGAUGUGAAAGCCCCCGGCUCAACCGGGGAGGGUCAUUGGAAACUGGGAAACUUGAGUGCAGAAGAGGAGAGUGGAAUUCCACGUGUAGCGGUGAAAUGCGUAGAGAUGUGGAGGAACACCAGUGGCGAAGGCGACUCUCUGGUCUGUAACUGACGCUGAGGAGCGAAAGCGUGGGGAGCGAACAGG